RNAcentral lists this unclassified non-coding RNA (805 nucleotides) under Zea mays. RNAcentral's name for it is "misc RNA Zm00001eb072010". The record is from RNAcentral. Lineage: Eukaryota; Viridiplantae; Streptophyta; Magnoliopsida; Poales; Poaceae.
ACCCACCGCACCCUUUCAUCAGCCUGCCUGUCCACUGUUGGCUUGGUGACUUCCUCCGCUCCGCUCCGCUCCCCUCCGCUCCCGAACGGUCGAUCUUUGCAUGGCAGCAGCAGCUGGCUCCAAGGGGCGGGCGAUCGCUGGAAGCUUCGUCAGCCGCGUCCUCGCCGGCAAGGCCGCCUCGCCGAGGAGGGCCGUGCACGCCUCGGCGUACGACAAGAACCUGGAGGACCAGGUGCGCCCGGCGUUCGUGCCGGACGAUGUGAUCGGCAGCGCCGGGAGCCCCGACAAGUACUGGAGCCCCCACCCCAAGACCGGCGUCUUCGGCCCGGCGGCGGUGGACCCCAAGCUGGCCGCUGGUGGCGCGCCGGACGCCGGCGCGGAUGCUGCAGGAGGCACGGUGCUGGACCAGAAGGUGUGGUUCCGCCCGCUCGAGGACGUCGAGAAGCCGCCCCCCGCCGCGUGAGCCGCGCGGCGCUGCUAGGCCAGCCCACACUGCUGCUCGCUCAUAAAAAGGGCGGCGGGAGAGCCUGGCAGUGGCAGGCACUCUGCUCGUGCUCGGCCGGGCUGGGCUCCCUGCUUAUAUCACUGCAAUAUUAUACUACUAGUAGUGGUGCUUGAUAGCAGUGUGUGGCUGUGCUAAUACCAGUAUAAUACUGGUUCUACUAUAAUACAGUCGUAUCAGGCAUGGCGUGCAUCAGGACUGGUUGUGAUAGUAGCAACGUGAUGCUCGUGCCUGUAAUAAGAACAAGCAGGCGAUGUGUGCCUGUGAUGUACCGGUGUCGUCAGUGUUAUAAGUACUUGGGUC